UACAGAGGUCUCAAGCGUUGUUCGGAUUCAUUGGGCGUAAAGGGUGCGUAGGCGGCGCGGUAAGUCGGGUGUGAAAUCUCGGAGCUUAACUCCGAAACUGCAUUCGAUACUGCCGUGCUUGAGGACUGGAGAGGAGACUGGAAUUUACGGUGUAGCGGUGAAAUGCGUAGAUAUCUGGAGGAACACCGAUGGCGAAGGCGGCUCUCUGGACCGAGACUGACGCUGAGGCGCGAAAGCGUGGGGAGCAAACAGG
RNAcentral lists this ribosomal RNA (253 nucleotides) under uncultured bacterium. RNAcentral describes it as "partial 16S ribosomal RNA". It matches the Rfam family "Bacterial small subunit ribosomal RNA", at positions 524 to 776 of the family's 1533-position model. The record is from RNAcentral.